UACAGAGGGGGCAAGCGUUGUUCGGAAUUACUGGGCGUAAAUGGCGCGUAGGCGGCCUUCUAAGUCGAACGUGAAAUCCCUGGGCUCAACCCAGGAACUGCGUCCGAUACUGGAAGGCUUGAAUCCGGGAGAGGGAUGCGGAAUUCCAGGUGUAGCGGUGAAAUGCGUAGAUAUCUGGAGGAACACCGGUGGCGAAGGCGGCAUCCUGGACCGGUAUUGACGCUGAGGCGCGAAAGCCAGGGGAGCAAACGGG
Molecule: ribosomal RNA, 253 nt
Filed under: uncultured bacterium
Lineage: Bacteria
Description: partial 16S ribosomal RNA
Rfam family: Bacterial small subunit ribosomal RNA
Source: RNAcentral